This is a long non-coding RNA of Numida meleagris (helmeted guineafowl), 1271 nucleotides long. RefSeq lists it as uncharacterized. The record is from RefSeq and is a predicted model, not a curated record. The transcript has 6 exons. Lineage: Eukaryota; Metazoa; Chordata; Aves; Galliformes; Numididae.
AGUUCAGCGUGCGCGCCGUCCGUGCAGCGCGGAGGAGCGCGCUCGGGGCGGUGGUGGCCGCACACUCUCCGCGGCCUGCCGGCGCGCCGCCCGCAGCAAGCAGCCUGCCCCGGCCCGCCGCUGCUUGAUUCGGCUUUAUAUUUAAUACAUGCCUUUUCAUCUAUAAUUCACGCUGCUCAGACUCCAGCCACGUCUCGGCUCCCAUUUACGCCUGCACACCUUUCUCCUUCCCCCUCCCGAAGGGUCAGCCGAGAUACUCGCUGAAGGGAGAGCUGUUUCGCUGGUUGUGUUUUUGUCUGCUUAAACAUCGAGCUGGAAAACACUUCUCUGUGGUCUGAUAAAUAAUAAAAGUGAUCAUUUCUCCUUCCCUGUAAAUGACACAGUUGAUAGCAUUGGCCAGCAAGAGAUCCAAGUUACUGCCUCGAAGAUUUUAGAAGAUUUUACAUUUUCAGAUGCAGGCUCCUGCCUUCAGAUUCCUAUAUGUAUACACACAUACGGCGCAGUGUUAGGCAAUGGUGGAAGCUCCUCAUAUCUGUUAGAGGAAUUAUUCCAGGCCAAAUUGCCUGUCCUGCCGUGAUCAUUCAGAGCGCUCCUGAUGUGGUUGUUCCUUGAACUGUCUGCUGAAAGACAAGAGGAUUGGAGUUCAGUGUGGCAGGUGUGUGUCUUUUGUCCUGACUUUAUACAUCUGAAUGGAUUUUUGGAGCUUGCUUCAGAGUUUCCUCCUCUUCCUGUGCAUAGGGAUUGGACAUAAAGUCUUUACUUAUACUGAGGAGCACUGUGAGACUGACUGCUCUUUGUGCUGAACUCAAGAGACAGCAAACGCAAUACUGGGAGCCCGAGACACCUCUUUUACACAUCACAACCAAAAACCAGACUACUGAAAAAUGAAUAGCAGGAAAGCCUACAGAAAAGUCCCAGCAACUCUCAACAUAGUAACAGAGUAUACUUCUCUCAAAGAAUGCUGAGGUUAAAGGUGAGGAUUACUUCUCAAAGCCUCUGUCCUAAGAGACUACUAAGAUAUUGAAUACAAGUGUUUUGUGUGAUGCUAUUCAAAAUAGGUGUGAGAGUUGAGCGUACUGGAAGCCCCUGGUGAGAUGAGCCAUUUAACAGCCUAUCCAGAGGAUUGAGAGUGCAGUCCUACUGCAACAGGACCUCUACUAUGGAGAGUGUGUUUGGGCAGGGAGUAGUGGAUCUUCAGAUGCUUAUAGAUGUAGGUGGCAGUCCAGGUGGGCUUCUUAACAAUACAGUAAAGCCACAGUGUUUGUGCUCAG